CUAANUACGUGCCAGCAGCCGCGGUAAUACGUAGGGUGCGAGCGUUAAUNGGAAUUACUGGGCGUAAAGCGGGCGCAGACGGUUACUUAAGCAGGAUGUGAANUCCCCGGGCUCAACCUGGGAACUGCGUUCUGAACUGGGUGACUAGAGUGUGUCAGAGGGAGGUAGAAUUNCACGUGUAGCAGUGAAAUGCGUAGAGAUGUGGAGGAAUACCGAUGGCGAAGGCAGCCUCCUGGGAUAACACUGACGUUCAUGCCCGAAAGCGUGGGUAGCAAACAGGAUUAGAUACCCUGGUAGUCCACGCCCUAAACGAUGUCGAUUAGCUGUUGGGCAGCAUGACUGCUUAGUAGCGAAGCUAACGCGUGAAAUCGACCGCCUGGGGAGUACGGUCGCAAGAUUAAAACUCAAAGGAAUUGACGGGGACCCGCACAAGCGGUGGAUGAUGUGGAUUAAUUCGAUGCAACGCGAAGAACCUUACCUGGUCUUGACAUGUACGGAACCCUCCAGAGACGGAGGGGUGCCUUCGGGAGCCGUAACACAGGUGCUGCAUGGCUGUCGUCAGCUCGUGUCGUGAGAUGUUGGGUUAAGUCCCGCAACGAGCGCAACCCUUGUCAUUAGUUGCCAUCAUUAAGUUGGGCACUCUAAUGAGACUGCCGGUGACAAGCCGGAGGAAGGUGGGGAUGACGUCAAGUCCUCAUGGCCCUUAUGACCAGGGCUUCACACGUCAUACAAUGGUCGGUACAGAGGGUAGCCAAGCCGCGAGGUGGAGCCAAUCUCACAAAACCGAUCGUAGUCCGGAUUGCACUCUGCAACUCGAGUGCAUGAAGUCGGAAUCGCUAGUAAUCGCAGGUCAGCAUACUGCGGUGAAUACGUUCCCGGGUCUUGUACACACCGCCCGUCACACCAUGGGAGUGGGGGAUACCAGAAGUNGGUAGGG
RNAcentral lists this ribosomal RNA (937 nucleotides) under uncultured bacterium. Its description in RNAcentral is "bacterial SSU rRNA". It matches the Rfam family "Bacterial small subunit ribosomal RNA", at positions 497 to 1435 of the family's 1533-position model. The record is from RNAcentral.